CUGCCACGUAAGCCUGCUGCUAGUCCUCACUCUGCCUCUCAGCGAGAAUUCUCUCGUACUGAGGAGAUAACCUCUGGACAAUGCUGUUACAACUCUGUUACAACCUCCACACAACGUCUCUCCGCUCCAAUGGACUGUCAUGGACAGACAACAGGAGUCUACCUGAAUCAACACUUCUCUGCUGGCAGAGGAAAGAUGAGAGAGGAGAGAGGAGAGAGGAGAGAGGAGAGAGGAGAGAGGAGAGAGGAGAGAGGAGAGAGAGGGAAAGAGGAGAGAGAGGGAGAGAGGGAGAGAGGGAAAGAGGAGAGAGGGGGAGAGGGAGAUAGAAGAGAGGGAGAGGGAGAGAGGGAGAGAGGGAGAGAGAAGAGAGGGAGACAGGGAGUUGGAGGGUGAAAAAGUGGAGGGUGAAGAGGGGACUUCUCUCCGGAGAGACGCCAAGAGGUGAAAGAGGGAGAGAGGAGACGGAGAGCGAGAGUCCAUUGACCAACCCAUCCAGAACCCUCAAAAUGGACUAGGACACAGGAAGGAAAACUCAGACUGCCGAUCACAACUCAUCACUUCUCCCUGACCUCAGCCAUUUACUCUCCCAUUUUCUUUCUCAGUCUCUUCUCCAGACAAGACCUCCCCUUCUUUCUACACUGGGCAGAAAUCCCUCUUCUCUCCUGAGCCCACAGGAUUGGUCAAAUAGCUAUUUUGGAUACAGGGCAGAUAACACAGUGAGUAGUGUGUAUGUUUAGGUGUGUUCAGUGUCUACGUGUGUGUUUGAGCGACUGUGUCUGCGUGUGUGCGCGUGAGUGAGUGUGUGCAUAUAGGUGUGUGUGUGUGUGUGUGUGUGUGUGUGUGUGUGUGUGUGUGUGUGUGUGUGUGUGUGUGUGUGUGUGUGUGUGUGUGUGUGUGUGUGUGUGUGUGUGUGUGUGUGUGUGUGUGUGUGUGUGUGUGUGUGUGCGUGUGUGUGUGUGUGUGUGUGUGUGUGUGUGUGUGCGUGUGUAUGUGCAGUAUGUGUGAGUGUUUACAUGUAUAUAUGUGUACCUCCUUCACCCUCCUCCCUCGUGGACCAGCAGCCCGCCCCGCCUGCCCAGUGUUCAGACUACCUGUUCAGGAAGUAGUGGUUGCACAGUAGUCUGCACAUUGGUUAGGCUGGGUGGGGAAGCGCAAGAAUCAGGACACAGAGAGACAGCUAGCCAGUGGGUGACAGCAGCCAAAAAGACAAUGGCACUACUCUGGGCAAGCCUGGCACAGCAUUAAGAAUCCGAACCACAGCCUCAACCACAGAAACAGGCCAUGCCCAACUAUAUACCUGUCUAGUACUGUUGUGUUCUGUUCUGAGUUGAUGACUGACUGUAUGUCCUGAGAAAUUGAAAUACAGUUUUUUUGAAGAUCAGUCUGAGCCUACUUAGUGUCUAAGACGUCUGCCAGGUCGAAUCCAGAAAUGGUACUUUGUAUUUUGUAAAUAUUGUCAUGGGCAAGAAUUAAAACUUCAGAUUUCAACUUUGCAUAAGACUGUACAUGCUAUAUAAUUAAAAUGUUACGGUUGAAUGGGAAACACUGGUAUUGGUAAUGAACAUCGAUAUACUAAAGAUGGCUUCUACUGGAGUGGUUAUAUUUGUAUGAAGAACCCAAAAUAUUCCAACCACAGGAGGGUGACUAAGAUACAGCAUACAGGAGGGUGACUAAGAUACAGCAUAGAGGAGGGUGACUAAGAUACAGCAUAGAGGAGGGUGACUAAGAUACAGCAUACAGGAGGGUGACUAAGAUACAGCAUACAGGAGGGUGACUAAGAUACAGCAUACAGGAGGGUGACUAAGAUACAGCAUACAGGAGGGUGACUAAGAUACAGCAUACAGGAGGGUGACUAAGAUGCAGCACAGGAGGAUGACUAAGAUACAGCAUACAGGAGGGUGACUAAGAUACAGCAUACAGGAGGGUGACUAAGAUACAGCAUACAGGAGGGGGACUAAGAUACAGCAUACAGGAGGGUGACUAAGAUACAGCAUACAGGAGGGUGACUAAGAUGCAGCACACAGGAGGAUGACUAAGAUACAGCAUACAGGAGGGUGACUAAGAUACAGCAUACAGGAGGGUGACUAAGAUACAGCAUACAGGAGGGUGACUAAGAUACAGCAUACAGGAGGGUGACUGAGAUACAGCAUACAGGAAGGUGACUGAAGAUACAGCAUACAGGAAGGUGCUUAAGAUACAGCAUACAGGAGGGUGACUAAGAUACAGCAUACAGGAGGGUGACUAAAAUACAGCAUACAGGAGGAUGACUAAGAUACAGAAUAAAGGAGGGUGACUAAGAUACAGCAUACAGGAGGGUGACUAAGAUACAGCAUACAGGAGGGUGACUAAAAUACAGCAUACAGGAGGAUGAAUGACCAUAGAUUGUUAACCAAAAGUGUAACUGCUGCUCUAUGCUAAACAGAAGCUUACAAUUAAGUCACAUCCUGAGCAACAUAAAUAAAUGGUGGUUGUCUCACGCUGACCAAUUGGCAGACUACCUCCAAGAAAGCUCCGUCUAAAGUCCCUGACAUGAAAUAAAACACUUGAACAUA
Molecule: long non-coding RNA, 2552 nt
Organism: Oncorhynchus keta (chum salmon)
Lineage: Eukaryota; Metazoa; Chordata; Actinopteri; Salmoniformes; Salmonidae
Exons: 2
Source: RefSeq, a predicted model, not a curated record